This 460-nucleotide ribosomal RNA is filed under the name uncultured bacterium. RNAcentral describes it as "partial 16S ribosomal RNA". It matches the Rfam family "Bacterial small subunit ribosomal RNA", at positions 338 to 795 of the family's 1533-position model. The record is from RNAcentral.
CCUACGGGAGGCAGCAGUGAGGAAUAUUGGUCAAUGGACGCAAGUCUGAACCAGCCAAGCAGCGUGAAGGAAGACGGCCCUACGGGUUGUAAACUGCUUUUGUAAAAGGGUAAAGUGAGACACGUGUGCCUUUCUGCAAGUACCUUACGAAUAAGGAUCGGCUAACUCCGUGCCAGCAGCCGCGGUAAUACGGAGGAUUCAAGCGUUAUCCGGAUUUAUUGGGUUUAAAGGGUGCGUAGAUGGUCUGUUAAGUUAGAGGUGAAAGCCUGCGGCUCAACCUCGGAAUUGCCAGUGAUACUGUUAGGCUAGAGAAUAGUUGAGGUAGGCGGAAUGUGUGGUGUAGCGGUGAAAUGCUUAGAGAUCACACAGAACUCCGAUUGCGAAGGCAGCUUACCAAGCUGCCUCUGACAUUGAGGCACGAAAGCGUGGGUAGCAAACAGGAUUAGAUACCCUAGUAGUC